GAUGAACGCUGGCGGCGUGCCUAAUACAUGCAAGUCGAGCGAACGGACGAUAAGCUUGCUUCUCUCAUGUUAGCGGCGGACGGGUGAGUAACACGUGUAUAACCUACCUAUAAGACUGGGAUCACUUCGGGACACCGGAUCUAAUACCGGAUGAUCUUUUGCACCGCAUGGUUCAAUAGUGAAAGACGGUCUUGCUGUCACUUCUCGCUGGAUCCGCGCUGCAUUAGCUAGUUGGUAAGGUAACGGCCUACCAAGGCAACGAUGCAUAGCCGACCUGUGAGAGGGGUCGGCCACCCUGGAAGUGAGACACGGUCCUGACGCCUACGGGACGCAGCAGUAGGGUAUCGUCCGCAGUGGGCGAGAGCCUGACGGAGCAACGCCGCGUGAGUGGUGACGGUCUUCGGAUCGUAAAACUCUGUUAUGAGGGAAAAACAGAUGUGUAAGUAACUGUGCACAUAUUGACGGUAACUAAUCAGAAAGCCACGGCUAACUACGUG
This 497-nucleotide ribosomal RNA is filed under the name uncultured bacterium. RNAcentral's name for it is "partial 16S ribosomal RNA". It matches the Rfam family "Bacterial small subunit ribosomal RNA", at positions 28 to 507 of the family's 1533-position model. The record is from RNAcentral.